UUAAGUGAAUAAGGGCGCACGGUGGAUGCCUUGGCACUAGGAGCCGAUGAAGGACGGGACUAACACCGAUAUGCUUUGGGGAGCUGUACGUAAGCUAUGAUCCAGAGAUUUCCGAAUGGGGGAACCCAACAUCUUUAAUAGGAUGUUACGAUUGUGUGAAUACAUAGCACAUUCGAGGUAGACGCAGAGAACUGAAACAUCUAAGUACCUGCAGGAAGAGAAAGAAAAUUCGAUUCCCUGAGUAGCGGCGAGCGAAACGGGAAAAGCCCAAACCAGCAAGCUUGCUUGUUGGGGUUGUAGGACUCCAAUAUGGUAGUUCUUUCAGAUAGUCGAAUGACUUGGAAAAGUCAGUCAAAGAGGGUAAAAACCCCGUAGACGAAAUGUGGAAGACACCUAGGAGGAUCCUGAGUACGGCGGAACACGAGAAAUUCCGUCGGAAUCCGGGAGGACCAUCUCCCAAGGCUAAAUACUCCCUAGUGACCGAUAGUGAACCAGUACCGUGAGGGAAAGGUGAAAAGCACCCCGGAAGGGGAGUGAAAUAGAACCUGAAACCGUGUGCCUACAACAAGUCAAAGCCCGUUAAUGGGUGAUGGCGUGCCUUUUGUAGAAUGAACCGGCGAGUUACGAUUGCAUGCGAGGUUAAGUUGAAGAGACGGAGCCGCAGCGAAAGCGAGUCUGAAUAGGGCGUUUGAGUAUGUAGUCGUAGACCCGAAACCAUGUGAUCUACCCAUGUCCAGGUUGAAGGUGCGGUAAAACGCACUGGAGGACCGAACCCACGUACGUUGAAAAGUGCGGGGAUGAGGUGUGGGUAGCGGAGAAAUUCCAAACGAACUUGGAGAUAGCUGGUUCUCUCCGAAAUAGCUUUAGGGCUAGCCUCGGAAUUGAGAAUGAUGGAGGUAGAGCACUGUUUGGACUAGGGGCCCAUCUCGGGUUACCGAAUUCAGAUAAACUCCGAAUGCCAUUCAUUCAUAUCCGGGAGUCAGACUGUGAGUGAUAAGAUCCAUAGUCGAAAGGGAAACAGCCCAGACCACCAGCUAAGGUCCCAAAAUAUAUGUUAAGUGGAAAAGGAUGUGGGGUUGCACAGACAACUAGGAUGUUGGCUUAGAAGCAGCCACCAUUUAAAGAGUGCGUAAUAGCUCACUAGUCGAGUGACCCUGCGCCGAAAAUAUACCGGGGCUAAACAUAUUACCGAAGCUGUGGAGUACACCUUUAGGUGUAUUGGUAGGAGAGCGUUCUAAGGGCGUUGAAGGCAGAUCGUGAGGACUGCUGGAGCGCUUAGAAGUGAGAAUGCCGGUAUGAGUAGCGAAAGACAGGUGAGAAUCCUGUCCACCGAAUGACUAAGGUUUCCUGGGGAAGGCUCGUCCGCCCAGGGUUAGUCGGGACCUAAGCCGAGGCCGACAGGCGUAGGCGAUGGAUAACAGGUUGAUAUUCCUGUACCCGUUGUUUUUGUUUGAGCAAUGGAGGGACGCAGGAGGCUAAGGAAUGCAGACGAUCGGAAAUGUCUGUCCAAGCAGUAAGUCUGAAGAGGAGCCAAAUGCUUCUUUUCUUAAGGACAAGCUGUGAUGGGGAGGGAAAUAAUAGUACCGAAGUUCCUGAUGUCACACUGCCGAGAAAAGCUUCUAGUGAGAAAACAGCGGCCCGUACCGCAAACCGACACAGGUAGUCGAGGAGAGAAUCCUAAGGUGAGCGAGAGAACUCUCGUUAAGGAACUCGGCAAAAUGACCCCGUAACUUCGGGAGAAGGGGUGCUGAUCAUACGAUCAGCCGCAGUGAAUAGGCCCAAGCGACUGUUUAUCAAAAACACAGGUCUCUGCAAAAUCGUAAGAUGAAGUAUAGGGGCUGACGCCUGCCCGGUGCUGGAAGGUUAAGAGGAGUGCUUAGCGCAAGCGAAGGUACGAAUUGAAGCCCCAGUAAACGGCGGCCGUAACUAUAACGGUCCUAAGGUAGCGAAAUUCCUUGUCGGGUAAGUUCCGACCCGCACGAAAGGCGUAACGAUUUGGGCACUGUCUCAACGAGAGACUCGGUGAAAUUUUAGUACCUGUGAAGAUGCAGGUUACCCGCGACAGGACGGAAAGACCCCAUGGAGCUUUACUGUAGUUUGAUAUUGAGUGUCUGUACCGCAUGUACAGGAUAGGUAGGAGCCGUAGAAAUCGGAACGCUAGUUUCGAUGGAGGCGCUGGUGGGAUACUACCCCUGCGUUAUGGCCACUCUAACCCGUACCACUAAUCGUGGUGGGAGACAGUGUCAGAUGGGCAGUUUGACUGGGGCGGUCGCCUCCUAAAAGGUAACGGAGGCGCCCAAAGGUUCCCUCAGAAUGGUUGGAAAUCAUUCGAAGAGUGUAAAGGCAGAAGGGAGCUUGACUGCGAGACCAACAAGUCGAGCAGGGACGAAAGUCGGGCUUAGUGAUCCGGUGGUUCCGCAUGGAAGGGCCAUCGCUCAACGGAUAAAAGCUACCCUGGGGAUAACAGGCUUAUCUCCCCCAAGAGUCCACAUCGACGGGGAGGUUUGGCACCUCGAUGUCGGCUCG
This 2526-nucleotide ribosomal RNA is filed under the name Enterococcus faecium EnGen0001. RNAcentral's name for it is "bacterial LSU rRNA". It matches the Rfam family "Bacterial large subunit ribosomal RNA", at positions 1 to 2539 of the family's 2925-position model. Lineage: Bacteria; Bacillati; Bacillota; Bacilli; Lactobacillales; Enterococcaceae. The record is from RNAcentral.